GACGAACGCUGGCGGCGUGCUUAACACAUGCAAGUCGAACGGAAAGGCCCUGCUUUUGUGGGGUGCUCGAGUGGCGAACGGGUGAGUAACACGUGAGUAACCUGUCCUUGACUUUGGGAUAACUUCAGGAAACUGGGGCUAAUACCGGAUAGGAGCUCUUGCUGCAUGGUGGGGGUUGGAAAGUUUCGGCGGUUGGGGAUGGACUCGCGGCUUAUCAGCUUGUUGGUGGGGUAGUGGCUUACCAAGGCUUUGACGGGUAGCCGGCCUGAGAGGGUGACCGGCCACAUUGGGACUGAGAUACGGCCCAGACUCCUACGGGAGGCAGCGGUGGGGAAUAUUGCACAAUGGGAGGAGGCCUGAUGCAGCAACGCCGCGUGCGGGAUAACGGCCUUCGGGUUGUAAACCGCUUUCGCCUGUGACGAGGCGUGAGUGACGGUAAUGGGUAAAGAAGCACCGGCUAACUACGUG
RNAcentral lists this ribosomal RNA (468 nucleotides) under uncultured bacterium. RNAcentral's name for it is "partial 16S ribosomal RNA". It matches the Rfam family "Bacterial small subunit ribosomal RNA", at positions 28 to 507 of the family's 1533-position model. The record is from RNAcentral.